Molecule: ribosomal RNA, 497 nt
Filed under: uncultured bacterium
Lineage: Bacteria
Description: partial 16S ribosomal RNA
Rfam family: Bacterial small subunit ribosomal RNA
Source: RNAcentral
GAUGAACGCUGGCGGCGUGCCUAAUACAUGCAAGUCGAGCGAACAGACGAGGAGCUUGCUCCUCUGACGUUAGCGGCGGACGGGUGAGUAACACGUGGAUAACCUACCUAUAAGACUGGGAUAACUUCGGGAAACCGGAGCUAAUACCGGAUAAUAUAUUGAACCGCAUGGUUCAAUAGUGAAAGACGGUUUUGCUGUCACUUAUAGAUGGACCCGCGCCGCAUUAGCUAGUUGGUAAGGUAACGGCUUACCAAGGCAACGAUGCGUAGCCGACCUGAGAGGGUGAUCGGCCACACUGGAACUGAGACACGGUCCAGACUCCUACGGGAGGCAGCAGUAGGGAAUCUUCCGCAAUGGGCGAAAGCCUGACGGAGCAACGCCGCGUGAGUGAUGAAGGUCUUCGGAUCGUAAAACUCUGUUAUUAGGGAAGAACAAAUGUGUAAGUAACUAUGCACGUCUUGACGGUAUCUAAUCAGAAAGCCACGGCUAACUACGUG